GCCGCUAUGGUGAAAUUGGUAGACACGCUGCUCUUAGGAAGCAGUGCUAAUGCAUCUCGGGUCGAGUCCGAGUGGCGGCA
This 80-nucleotide transfer RNA is filed under the name Datura stramonium (jimsonweed). Its description in RNAcentral is "tRNA-Leu". The record is from RNAcentral. Lineage: Eukaryota; Viridiplantae; Streptophyta; Magnoliopsida; Solanales; Solanaceae.